Molecule: ribosomal RNA, 754 nt
Filed under: uncultured bacterium
Lineage: Bacteria
Description: bacterial SSU rRNA
Rfam family: Bacterial small subunit ribosomal RNA
Source: RNAcentral
AGUGGCGAACGGGUGAGUAACGCGUGGGCAAUCUGCCCUUCAGAUGGGGACAACAUCCCGAAAGGGGUGCUAAUACCGAAUACGAUCAUUCCACCGCAUGGAGGAAGGAUGAAAGAUGGCCUCUAUUUAUAAGCUAUCGCUGAAGGAUGAGCCUGCGUCUGAUUAGCUAGUUGGUGGGGUAACGGCCUACCAAGGCGAUGAUCAGUAGCCGGUCUGAGAGGAUGAACGGCCACAUUGGGACUGAGACACGGCCCAAACUCCUACGGGAGGCAGCAGUGGGGAAUAUUCCGCAAUGGACGAAAGUCUGACGGAGCAACGCCGCGUGAGUGAUGAAGGUUUUCGGACUGUAAAGCUCUGUUGUUUAGGACGAAAGUGCCUGCUGCGAACAGUUGCAGGUAUUGACGGUACUGAACGAGGAAGCCACGGCUAACUACGUGCCAGCAGCCGCGGUAAUACGUAGGUGGCAAGCGUUGUCCGGAAUUAUUGGGCGUAAAGAGCAUGUAGGCGGGAAUCUAAGUCUGCUGUGAAAAUGCGGGGCUCAACCCCGUAUGGCGAUGGAAACUGGAUUUCUUGAGUGCAGGAGAGGAAAGGGGAAUUCCCAGUGUAGCGGUGAAAUGCGUAGAUAUUGGGAGGAACACCAGUGGCGAAGGCGCCUUUCUGGACUGUGUCUGACGCUGAGAUGCGAAAGCCAGGGGAGCGAACGGGAUUAGAUACCCCGGUAGUCCUGGCCGUAACGAUGGGUACUAGGUGUAGG